RNAcentral lists this small RNA (21 nucleotides) under Arabidopsis thaliana (thale cress). Its description in RNAcentral is "ATSL147520". Lineage: Eukaryota; Viridiplantae; Streptophyta; Magnoliopsida; Brassicales; Brassicaceae. The record is from RNAcentral.
AAGUACUACGACGACAAAGAA